RNAcentral lists this ribosomal RNA (342 nucleotides) under uncultured Pseudomonas sp. Its description in RNAcentral is "bacterial SSU rRNA". It matches the Rfam family "Bacterial small subunit ribosomal RNA", at positions 1041 to 1382 of the family's 1533-position model. Lineage: Bacteria; Pseudomonadati; Pseudomonadota; Gammaproteobacteria; Pseudomonadales; Pseudomonadaceae. The record is from RNAcentral.
CUGCAUGGCUGUCGUCAGCUCGUGUCGUGAGAUGUUGGGUUAAGUCCCGUAACGAGCGCAACCCUUGUCCUUAGUUACCAGCACGUUAUGGUGGGCACUCUAAGGAGACUGCCGGUGACAAACCGGAGGAAGGUGGAGAUGACGUCAAGUCAUCAUGGCCCUUACGGCCUGGGCUACACACGUGCUACAAUGGUCGGUACAAAGGGUUGCCAAGCCGCGAGGUGGAGCUAAUCCCAUAAAACCGAUCGUAGUCCGGAUCGCAGUCUGCAACUCGACUGCGUGAAGUCGGAAUCGCUAGUAAUCGUGAAUCAGAAUGUCACGGUGAAUACGUUCCCGGGCCUU